CUCAGAUUAUGAUUGGUGUGAAAUGCAUCUUUUAUGGGAUAAUUGGAUUUCUUCUUCUUGAUUCUGAAACGUACAGAAUCAUUUUCUUCUCGAUUUACACAGGCUUCCCUAUAUGGGGGGCAUUGUCUUUUAUCAUCUCUGGAUCUCUGACUGUUGCGUCUGCCAAGAAGCAAACAAAAUCACUGCUGAGAGGGAAUCUAGGCGCCAACACUCUCAGCACCUUCAUCUCGAUUGCUGGGAUCUGUAUUUUGUCGUACAAUUUAACAAAAAAUAUCCACCAUGAUUGCGAGAAGGAACCUCUCUGUUUGGGCAUCAAAUCAAUUGCAACUGGACUUGUGAUUGUCCUAAUGAUCCUAACUUGUCUGCAAAUUUUAAUUUCACUUCCUCUCUCCAUGCUCAGUUAUAAUGUGGAUGACGAGAAUAUUCACUGGAUUUAUGUAUUGCUUUGCUGGAAAUCACCUUCUGAAGGUCUUUAUCAAGACUUGUUGCCUCAAACUAUAAUAUAUCAAGAACUUGAACGCAAAGAAGAUACACCUUCACGUUAUCCCACAGAUACUAACAAACAAAUAUGAGUCUGCACCUCUGUAUUUUGGAUCCACAGUGAUAGCAAGAAGCUCAUACUGUGGCCACUGAGGCAUGAAUACACACCUGUGAAGAUACAUAAGCAUAGAGUUCAGGGUCACAAAGAGAGCAACUAGCAUUUAUAACAUUGAGAUUUUGGUUGUUGCCACUUUUUUUGUUAGGGUUGGAUGUCAUCACAGACUAGGUUUAUGCUCUGUUACAAAACUUAACCUUGAAAUAUUGGUGGCUUAACACAUCAGAAGUUCAUUUGCUAUCUACUUUACAUGUUCUUUACUUCACUUUAGAUGCACACUGAUAUGAGUUCUACCAAAUAGAACAAUAUCUCAAAAAGUUUUUUUUUUUUAAUUUUCUCAAGAUAGGGAAAGAAAAUGUUAGAAGUUGGACCUUUAGCAAUUAGUUGUUCUAGAAAAAGCAAGUGUCACUUUUUGCCACAAUCCUUUAAACAGUCAUCUUCCCAGCACUGUGUGGGAGACAGGAAAUGUAGGCUGACAUCAAGUUAAGAAGCUUAAUUUUUGAUGAAAACCACUGAAGUAAACAUAGAGUUUCCUGAAGUAAUUGUGAAAAUUGUUUGCAUGAAGUCUUUGGUCCAUCAUUUUUACACUCUGUGACUUUGGAUGUGCAUCUUCCCUGACUAAAGAUCAGUUUGCUUAUCUCUCAAAUGGUCUAGCUUGUGCUUACUCAGUUCAGAUUGGGAUAUCUAUCAAGGAAAACAGUUAAUAUAGGUUUAAAAAAAAAUCCCAAACUUUUAACUAUAUGAGGUACUAUAGAUUAUAAUAUUUUAUUAAUAUCAUGUUAGGUUAAUUAUUUAUACUGCAUCAUUCUAAGUACAUUAAGGUUUUCUGAUGAUAUUUUAUGUAAAUAGUCAUAUAUAAAAACUUGUGUUGUUUAAUUGACCCACUGACAAUUAAUCAAAGCAUUACCCCAUUCCUCUUGAAUAAUACAACCAAAACUUUUCAAAGUCUAAUAAAAUUAAUACUAUUUCCCA
RNAcentral lists this long non-coding RNA (1567 nucleotides) under Canis lupus dingo (dingo). RNAcentral describes it as "lncRNA (ENSCAFG00020000468.1)". Lineage: Eukaryota; Metazoa; Chordata; Mammalia; Carnivora; Canidae. The record is from RNAcentral.